CAGCAGCCGCGGGAAUACGAAGGGUGCAAGCGUUACUCGGAAUUACUGGGCGUAAAGCGUGCGUAGGUGGUUGUUUAAGUCUGCUGUGAAAGCCCUGGGCUCAACCUGGGAAUUGCAGUGGAUACUGGGCGACUAGAGUAAGGUAGAGGAUAGUGGAAUUUCCGGUGUAGCAGUGAAAUGCGUAGAGAUCGGAAGGAACAUCUGUGGCGAAGGCGACUAUCUGGGCCAUUACUGACACUGAGGCACGAAAGCGUGGGGAGCAAACAGGAUUAGAUACCCCAGUAGUCCCUGUCUCUUAUAA
RNAcentral lists this ribosomal RNA (301 nucleotides) under uncultured bacterium. RNAcentral's name for it is "partial 16S ribosomal RNA". It matches the Rfam family "Bacterial small subunit ribosomal RNA", at positions 509 to 809 of the family's 1533-position model. The record is from RNAcentral.